UACGUAGGGGGCAAGCGUUGUCCGGAAUCAUUGGGCGUAAAGAGCGUGUAGGCGGCCCGAUAAGUCCGCUGUGAAAGUCCAGGGCUCAACCCUGGGAUGCCGGUGGAUACUGUCGGGCUCGAGUCCGGAAGAGGAGUGUGGAAUUCCUGGUGUAGCGGUGAAAUGCGCAGAUAUCAGGAGGAACACCAAUGGCGAAGGCAGCACUCUGGGACGUGACUGACGCUGAGACGCGAAAGCGUGGGUAGCAAACAGG
RNAcentral lists this ribosomal RNA (253 nucleotides) under uncultured bacterium. RNAcentral describes it as "partial 16S ribosomal RNA". It matches the Rfam family "Bacterial small subunit ribosomal RNA", at positions 524 to 776 of the family's 1533-position model. The record is from RNAcentral.